This 458-nucleotide ribosomal RNA is filed under the name uncultured bacterium. Its description in RNAcentral is "partial 16S ribosomal RNA". It matches the Rfam family "Bacterial small subunit ribosomal RNA", at positions 339 to 795 of the family's 1533-position model. The record is from RNAcentral.
CUACGGGAGGCAGCAGUGAGGAAUAUUGGUCAAUGGGCGGGAGCCUGAACCAGCCAAGCAGCGUGAGGGAAGAAGGUACAGCGUAUCGUAAACCUCUUUGGUCAGGGAACAAAGGCGGGGACUAGUCCCCGGAUGAGGGUACCUGAAGAAAAAGCAUCGGCUAAGUACGUGCAAGCAGCCGCGGUAAUACGGAGGAUGCGAGAGUUAUCCGGGUUUAUUGGGGUGAAAGGGUGCGCAGGCGGCCUGUUAAGUCAGCGGUAAAAGCCCUGGGCUCACACCCGGCGAGCCGUUGCAACUGGCGGGCUGGAGUUGGAGAGAAGUACGCGGAAGGCGCGGUGUAUCGGUGAAAUGCUUAGAUUACGCGCAGAACCCCGCUUGCGAAGGCAGCGUACCGGCUCCACACUGACGCUGAGGCACGAAAGCGUGGGUAUCGAACAGGAUUAGAUACCCGUGUAGUC